GCGGGAUUACCCCCUGCUUAUAUAAAACCUGCCGCUAGGGGGCGUAGCGACCCGGGCGCGGUGCGAGCAGAGCCGGGGAACAGGGAGCUGUCAAGGGGCUAGAGGUCCACACUGCAGUGGUCCAGAACUAUUCCUGGAGUCAGAGAAGUCUAUUAUAACCAUUUUCAGUGCCCUUUGAUGGAUUGAGAAAAAGUGAGGGAUAUGCAUCAUCUCCACCCCAGAUCCUUAUCACUUGCAUAUCUUAGAAUGUCGCGUCAUGCAUCAGUAUGUCUGAAUGCCAGCAGUGCAGCAACACAACUAUAACGAAGACAGAAUGUGCCAAAAAGACAUCAACUCCUUACCAACCGUUGCUUUUCAGCCAGACUCUCAGUCAGCAACAGACUCGUUAUGGAACUAUAUGCUUGGAGAAGCAGCCACUGAAAACAGGGAGGGUUGUGGGAAUAGUCUGUGGGAUAGAAUGAACACAGUAAGUGCCAUUGAACCCUUUCUCCAUGGACUAGAAGUGCAAAAUACUAUGGAAACUCAAAUAUAUAUUUU
This 537-nucleotide long non-coding RNA is filed under the name Gallus gallus (chicken). RNAcentral's name for it is "long non-coding RNA NONGGAT003895". The record is from RNAcentral. Lineage: Eukaryota; Metazoa; Chordata; Aves; Galliformes; Phasianidae.